AUCAGAAAUACAAGAGGCAGAGGAAGCAAGGUUGAAGAGGAUUAGGGAAUGCAAAUUAAAAUACACCAAAUAAAGCUUGAACUUAGACACACUUAUUGGUAAUAGGAUUGACUGAAUGGAUUAAUUUAAUUUCUAA
Molecule: long non-coding RNA, 136 nt
Organism: Amphimedon queenslandica
Lineage: Eukaryota; Metazoa; Porifera; Demospongiae; Haplosclerida; Niphatidae
Exons: 2
Source: RefSeq, a predicted model, not a curated record